GCAUUGAAUUUCCCAUUCAUUUUAAUCACAAUAAAAUUGCAUGGUAAGAGCUUGCUUCAAAUACUUCAUUUGCAAAGUGGAGGAUUAUGCAAGAAUCAUUAAUAACAAGUGAAACUUACAUAAAAUAAAAGAUCAACGGAAAAACAGGUAUAUAUAUAUUAACUAAUUAUAAUUGAUAAUUAACAACACCCUUCAUUGUUUUAUUUCAUUGGCAUUCAUUACAACACUUAAAUAUAUAUUAUAGAUAUUACCUAAAAGGAAGAAGAAAAAACCCCAUAUAAUUAUGUAAUGGGAAAAUAAAGAGACCCAGCAGAGGUUGCUCCAUUAACGCUGGAAGAUACAUAUAUUUAACAAGCCCCUAACUUACCAACUCGAACCGCAUAAAAAUUAGCUUCAGGGCAGCCACAGCCAUAGGUCACACCAUUGACUCCGCAAACUGGGUCGUAGCGCAAGCAUCUGAUAGCACUGCAAUCUUUUCCUGGAGAGGCGGACUUUGCCAGGUCACACAGGUUGGGUACCUGCACCUUGGAUUCCACCAUGGUCAAACAAACACCCAACACCACAACCAUCAUCAUGAAAAGAAUACAUGCUUUUUUCAAACUGGCCAUAGUCGAAGCUUUCUUUUUUCUUGCGAAAGCAAGGACUGGAGUUUUAAUAUGUUAGAUGAUACAGAAAAUGAAUCAUCCAUGGAUGUUUAUAUAAGACCCAAGUCAAAGGGAUCAAAUAUUACACGGAAUUGACUAAGGAGAUGGAGAUGGAGACGAGAUCCUUUGUAUCCGCGGCCAAUCUUACAUUCUAUGGGCUCUUUGAUCCUCGAGCGCAGCUUUUGGCUAAUGAAAUAAAAGCAAAGCAAAUCUCAAUUAUAUAUGUUAUUCACGUGGAGAAGGAUAUGGGCAAUGUAUUUUUCCACUUCUAUCUAUC
RNAcentral lists this long non-coding RNA (921 nucleotides) under Ricinus communis (castor bean). Its description in RNAcentral is "long non-coding RNA (RCOM_LNC000505)". Lineage: Eukaryota; Viridiplantae; Streptophyta; Magnoliopsida; Malpighiales; Euphorbiaceae. The record is from RNAcentral.